RNAcentral lists this ribosomal RNA (381 nucleotides) under uncultured bacterium. RNAcentral describes it as "bacterial SSU rRNA". It matches the Rfam family "Bacterial small subunit ribosomal RNA", at positions 29 to 400 of the family's 1533-position model. The record is from RNAcentral.
AACGAACGCUGGCGGCGCGCCUAAUACAUGCAAGUCGAGCGAGAAGACGUAGCAAUACGUUUGUAAAGCGGCGAACGGGUGAGGAAUACAUGGGUAACCUACCCUCGAGUGGGGAAUAACUAGCCGAAAGGUUAGCUAAUACCGCGUACGCUCCUUGGACUUCGGUUCAGGGAGGAAAGCGAUACCGCGGGUAUCGCGCUCUUGGAUGGGCUCAUGUCCUAUCAGCUUGUUGGUGAGGUAACGGCUCACCAAGGCUUCGACGGGUAGCUGGUCUGAGAGGACGAUCAGCCACACUGGCACUGCGACACGGGCCAGACUCCUACGGGAGGCAGCAGUAAGGAAUAUUGCGCAAUGGGCGAAAGCCUGACGCAGCGACGCCGC